RNAcentral lists this ribosomal RNA (478 nucleotides) under uncultured bacterium. RNAcentral describes it as "bacterial SSU rRNA". It matches the Rfam family "Bacterial small subunit ribosomal RNA", at positions 28 to 507 of the family's 1533-position model. The record is from RNAcentral.
GAUGAACGCUGGCGGCGUGCUUAACACAUGCAAGUCGAACGGAAGUUUUAAAAGGAAGUUUUCGGAUGGAAUUUAAAACUUUAGUGGCGGACGGGUGAGUAACGCGUGAGUAACCUGCCCUUAAGAGGGGGAUAACACACCGAAAGGUGUGCUAAUACCGCAUAACAUACAUUUGCCGCAUGACAGAUGUAUCAAAGAUUUAUCGCUUAAGGAUGGACUCGCGUCUGAUUAGAUAGUUGGUGAGGUAACGGCUCACCAAGUCGACGAUCAGUAGCCGAACUGAGAGGUUGAUCGGCCACAUUGGGACUGAGACACGGCCCAGACUCCUACGGGAGGCAGCAGUGGGGAAUAUUGCGCAAUGGGGGCAACCCUGACGCAGCAACGCCGCGUGAAGGAUGAAGGUCUUCGGAUCGUAAACUUUUGUCUUAUGGGAAGAACAAGGACGGUACCAUAGGAGGAAGCCACGGCUAACUACGUG